UCGGUCUUUAGUUUAUUACAAUUAGACACAUAAUUUAAACAUAUAUAUCUAUAUACAUAGAUAUAUAUGUAUAUAGAUAUAUAUGCUAGAUAAUUAGCUUUAGUUAUGACAACAUUCAUAAUAACCUGAACGUCACAUCUAAGAGCAUCUGUAAAACAAUUAGUGCAAUUUAUAGUUUACAGUUAAAACUAAAAAAAACAGCUUCUGUCUGGAAAAACAGACAAAUCAUCUAUUCAGAGAGAAUUACAGCAACAGAAAACUGGAGGCACAUCAGCUCAGAGUGAACACACCACUGCACCAGCAGGAAACACACACGUUAAACAUCAGCGCACUCAGGGCGUCGAGGCGCAACGGCCACGCCGACCUCAGCCUGGUGUCUGAUACUUUGGACGCUACAGCAGAGGCACGGCGGACGAAGAGAAGCAGAAAGUCAAAGCGGCGAGGUUUGACACAACAGAACGACUCGUAUGGCACGGUGCGAAUUACAGCGUGGCAAAAAUGAAUGAAGGCUUCCCCAAAAAUGUGAGAAAGUGACCCAAAAUCUCUGCAUGCCUUUCAGCUGGGACAUUCUUUAAGACCGAACAGGUGAAGCAACGCUGAUGAACUGUUUUAAAGGAGACAGGGGUGUGGCCGAAGGGGGCGGUGGGGGACCUGGCCCUUCUCAAAAGUGUGUCGUCACAUUCAGAUAGUCACUCCCAUUUUUCUCAUCAGUGCUUUGCUGUAACUGUAACUAUAUAGCUAUAGAACUAUAACCCCACCCCCCCCACAUGGCCUCACAGUGGUUUGGUCCAAUGCUAUUCCAUAACUCUUUACUCAAAACAAAACAUGUGCGAGACAUCCUUCUGCCCAUCAGCAGAAUUAAACUUGUUUUCAUCAAUUUUGAAAACAAGUCUUCUGGUUUUGAUCUUUUUCAAACUGUGAAUCCAUUUUAAGGAUGAAUUCUGGUGUAGUUCUUUGGCAGAGAAGUUAAACUUCCUGCUCACUGCGGAGACACUAAAACAGAAUUAACCACCUUUAACGAGAAGUUAACACAGAGGACUGACCGACCAGAAGAACGUGGUAACACAUUAAGACUGGUGGGUGUAUGGAGUGUUUCAAACGUGUGACUGCAGCAGUUUCACUCGUCGUCAUCAGUGAAGACGAGCUCAAACGCUGCUGUAAAAGCACAAAAACGCAGCUCUACAUGGAACAAAACUACAGUACUUCAUGUAACAAACACUCUGACAGUACUUCAUAUGUGUACAGUUACACAGCUACAUCCUACUGCCAGUACACACACAGCAUCAAGUUUAGGAAAACACAACAAACUGCUUGAACACACUUCAAUCAGAGGUCGACUUGCACCUCUGUUUAAAGCCAGAAACCCUCGCUGUUACCCGCUUUCAUUAUUAAUCCUUUUCUGCAGCGCCUCCUGGUGUGUCCACCAGGUUCUGCAGUUUGUUUCUCUAGAACAGGUUGCUCAUGAAUCAAAAUUAAAUGUUGCUGUGUAUGAAAGUGUCUUCCAACCCUUCAUUUUCUUUUUAUUACAAGCUGAUGUCUGGUUCACUUGUAGAAGACGAGUCUGGGAACCAGGAAAUGUGAAAUUUAAAGAGUUAUAAAUCAUAAUUUGGCAGGUUUUCAACAUUUACAACAACUAAUUUAUCUUUAUAUACUAACCACAUGUGAUGUUAUCAGAGGAGACCUGUUCUGCUUAUUUUCAAACUCUAUGCUUUUAUUCUGGGACUCCAGAGGGGCUAAAAAGCCACUUCCUCUUGAUUGGCCAACUUAAGGAGGCCUACCAAGGGGCAGCUAAUAGAGCUUUCAGGCUGUACUUUGUGGCCAUGCACGGGUUAAUUGAUAAAGAAAAAAAAAAUAAUCAGGCAUUCAAAUGCUAAUUUUUUCAAUCACUUUUACAUAUGUUUAGCUGUGAGGCAGUGGUUGUUGUGAUUUGGUGCUAUAUAAAUAAAACUGACUUGAAUAGAAACUCAGUAUUUCAGUUUUGGAGAUAUUUAACAUGAAUAUCUAACAACACUGAAACGCAGAAACAUUGCAUAUGGGACAGAAAAAGGAAGAAACGUGUAACAUGUAAAACUAGAGAACAGUAGAAUGGUGGAAACUGGCCCAAAAGAGCGACUGCAGAAAAGGGUUGAAUGAAGCCAUCGAGAGGUAUUUCACCUUCAUUAGUCAGAUUUCAUAAACUUAAUUUUAAGGUGUAGAAAAUAAAAACAUCAUCCUCGAAUCUCAAACCAAGCACAGAACUACUAUACGUAUUUUAUCUUCUAGCACCAAAUAACAUGAAAAUAAAUCUAUUAAGCACAUGUUUGAUUUUAAAAAGUGUACAAGUUACAGCCAAAGUACAGUUAUUGAAUGUUUUUGAGGCUACAUCAAGAGCUGGAACCUUCAGCAUAGGAUCUUUAGUCUAUUUCAGAGUUUUGAACUUCUUCAUACUCUGGCAAUGUGAACAAAGUGCCUCUUUCAUUAAGUCCUUUCUGUCAGAGUCUUUAAAAUGGCAAAUGGAGCUCAAUUUUGAGUCCUUCCUUUAUGGUUAAAGAGCAGGACACAGCAAAAAGGGGGAGAUAAAAGUUAUGGUUGGACUCUGCUGGCUCUGUUGUUUUAGGUCUGGUUUGAACCAUUUGUUUAGAUUAAGUUGGGAUUUUUGGAUAAAUUCAGCAAUACAGAAUUUAGAUCGGAUGAAGGCAUCAUCUACAAAGUGGUACUGAAAAUGAAAUAAUUCGAUUUAUUAGAUUGUUGUGCAAGGUCAAUACACCUCUUACACAAUAUUUGAAUUACUUUAUACCUGACCUCAUUGGUUACAUUUACCACUGACCUUUUUACCUUUUCUAUUUCAGUAACAUUCAGACAAAUUGAAUUUGUUAUUUCAUUUUAUAUGCUAUCUUUAUAAGCUUGCUUAUUAAACCAUUACCAAUAUAGUAUCUAGUCUAGUUUAACUGAAACCCUCAAUUUGACCUAUAAAAUAAGUAGCCUAAUAUUACUAUUACACAUAGCAAAGUUUUGUUAUAGCUAGUUCCCUAGCUAAUAUUUUAAGCUUACAUUGCCUAGCUACAAUUUUUUUUUCACUUUUCAAGAAAUGAAAACAGAGUUUUAUUUCAGUUUUUAGUUCCUGAUAUGGACAAUGAACAAAUUAAAUCUUUUAAUAUCUUACUUUCUUUAAAAGUAGCUAACUAGCCUGCUAAGCUAAUAAUUUUACUACUUUUAAUUGAAAAAACUAGCUUAGCAGGAAGCUUUUUUAAUGUAACAGGUCUUCUAGAUAAUUUCUGGCACCUGUAACUAAAAUGGCACAGAGUGAGUUAAUUUUAUAAUGACUAAAAGUUUAAGAUAACUUUUAUUGAGUGGUUUUGACCUCUGCAUUUUAAAAACGGACUCAAAUGAAUCAUUUUCAGGUUACAAAAUAUUAGUCACAUUUUUACAUUAGCCAUAAGUAAAAGUUAGUGCUAGCUAAGUAACCAUUCAUUUGUUCAAGAUGGUUGUGUUUUGUUUAGCUGCAAAUGAACUUAUUGAACAAAAGCAAAAAUCCUGUUUAAUAAACAUACUUUCAAUGUGCCUUAAUGCACAAAACUGACUAAAAAAAAUUAGCUAACAAGCUUUUGCAGUUACUAACUGUGACAGGAGUGUUAUUAGGCUAAUUUUCGUAUCUGGUACACAAUUUUCAAAAUUAAAUUGGGAUUCACAGUAAUGGCCACUGUUUGGGUUGUUUCUCAGUAUCUCGAAUAACCUAACAGCUUGAACAAGUGCCAUCACACACUUCUGUAAAAUAAAAAUUAAAAAAUGUAAAAAAUUAAAACAUCAAGAAUAUCAAAACAGGCUCCUGUCAGAGAAAAAGAAAUGUUUGUCUUGUUAAUGCUGUCCUGACUGGAUGUUCUGUAGUUCUUAUGAGAAAUCUGCACUUGUAUGUUAUUAUAUAUAUAUAUAUAUAUAUAUAUAUAUAUAUAUAUAU
Long non-coding RNA from Oreochromis aureus, 3934 nucleotides. The record is from Ensembl. Lineage: Eukaryota; Metazoa; Chordata; Actinopteri; Cichliformes; Cichlidae.